UGCGUGCUUUUCGGUGACGGCGCCGGCGCGGUGGUCCUUGAGGCUCAAUCGCAGGCCGGAACUUCUGCGGACCGCGGCAUCCUGACCACACAUCUGCGUUCUGACGGCCGUCACAAGGACAAGCUGUUUGUCGAUGGCGGCCCCUCGAGCACCCAGACCGUCGGCCACCUGAGGAUGGAAGGCCGUGAAGUGUUCAAGCACGCCGUCGGCAUGAUCACCGACGUCAUCGUCGACGCAUUUGAUGCG
RNAcentral lists this unclassified non-coding RNA (246 nucleotides) under Hevea brasiliensis (rubber tree). Lineage: Eukaryota; Viridiplantae; Streptophyta; Magnoliopsida; Malpighiales; Euphorbiaceae. The record is from RNAcentral.